UGAGUGUUAUGAUGAUGGAUUUAUAAGAAAGAUAAAUCUUAGUCUAGCUCUGGUCUACCGCUGGGUUUUCCCUGGCGGU
This is a non-coding RNA of Streptococcus sp., 79 nucleotides long. The record is from Rfam. NCBI's taxonomy places the organism in Bacteria, Bacillati, Bacillota, Bacilli, Lactobacillales, Streptococcaceae.